GCAGCAUGGUCUUAGCUUGCUAAGGCUGAUGGCGACCGGCGCACGGGUGAGUAACACGUAUCCAACCUGCCGUCUACUCUUGGCCAGCCUUCUGAAAGGAAGAUUAAUCCAGGAUGGGAUCAUGAGUUCACAUGUCCGCAUGAUUAAAGGUAUUUUCCGGUAGACGAUGGGGAUGCGUUCCAUUAGAUAGUAGGCGGGGUAACGGCCCACCUAGUCAACGAUGGAUAGGGGUUCUGAGAGGAAGGUCCCCCACAUUGGAACUGAGACACGGUCCAAACUCCUACGGGAGGCAGCAGUGAGGAAUAUUGGUCAAUGGGCGAUGGCCUGAACCAGCCAAGUAGCGUGAAGGAUGACUGCCCUAUGGGUUGUAAACUUCUUUUAUAAAGGAAUAAAGUCGGGUAUGCAUACCCGUUUGCAUGUACUUUAUGAAUAAGGAUCGGCUAACUCCGUGCCAGCAGCCGCGGUAAUACGGAGGAUCCGAGCGUUAUCCGGAUUUAUUGGGUUUAAAGGGAGCGUAGAUGGAUGUUUAAGUCAGUUGUGAAAGUUUGCGGCUCAACCGUAAAAUUGCAGUUGAUACUGGAUGUCUUGAGUGCAGUUGAGGCAGGCGGAAUUCGUGGUGUAGCGGUGAAAUGCUUAGAUAUCACGAAGAACUCCGAUUGCGAAGGCAGCCUGCUAAGCUGCAACUGACAUUGAGGCUCGAAA
Molecule: ribosomal RNA, 702 nt
Filed under: uncultured Bacteroidales bacterium
Lineage: Bacteria; Pseudomonadati; Bacteroidota; Bacteroidia; Bacteroidales
Description: bacterial SSU rRNA
Rfam family: Bacterial small subunit ribosomal RNA
Source: RNAcentral